UGGCCAAGCUACUAAGGGCAAACGGUGGAUGCCUUGGCGCUGGGUGGCGAUGAAAGACGUGGCUAGCUGCGAUAAGCUUCGGCGAGCCGCUAAACAGGCUUUGACCCGGAGAUUUCUGAAUGGGGGAACCCAUCCCGAGUAAUGUCGGGAUAUCUAUUGCUGAAUCCAUAGGCAAUAGAGGCGAACGAGGGGAACUGAAACAUCUCAGUACCCUCAGGAAAAGAAAACAACAGUGAUUCCCAAAGUAGUGGCGAGCGAAAUGGGAGGAGCCUAAACCGGACAUAUGCUAAAGUCUGCAGACGUUGUAUGUCCGGGGUUGCGGGGUCUUACCGGACGAAGCUGCAGAUUCGUCGCCAAGUCAAAAAUUCAAUCGAUAGUUGAACAACCUGGAAAGGUUGGCCGCAGAUGGUGAAAGUCCAGUAAACGAAAUCGAUUGAACUUGGUGGGUAAGAUUCCCAAGUACCACGGGACACGAGGAACCCCGUGGGAAUCAAGGAGGACCACCUUCUAAGGCUAAAUACAACCCAGCGACCGAUAGUGAACUAGUACCGUGAGGGAAAGGUGAAAAGAACCCCGGUGAGGGGAGUGAAAUAGUACCUGAAACCGUUUGUCUACAAGCAGUGGAAGAACUAUUGGAUUUAUUUGAGGGAUAUCCUUAUUAAAUCCAAGUUCGACUGCGUACCUUUUGUUUAAUGGGUCCGCGAGUUACUCCUCUGCAGCAAGGUUAAGCCGCUAGGUGUAGCCGGAGCGAAAGCGAGUCUUAAAUGGGCGAUUUGAGUUGCAUGGAGUAGACCCGAAACCAGGUGAUCUAUCCAUGGCCAGGGUGAAGUUCCGGUAACACGGAAUGGAGGCCCGAACCAGUGUGGGGUGAAAACUGCUUGGAUGAGCUGUGGAUAGGAGUGAAAGGCUAAUCAAACCUGGAGAUAGCUGGUUCUCCCCGAAAUAUAUUUAGGUAUAGCCUCGCAAAUUAAGUAACGGGGGUAGAGCACUGAAUGGGCUAGGGGUCCUACCAGAUUACCAAACCCAACCAAACUCCGAAUACCGUUAACUCUUACUGCGGGAGUCAGACUGCGGGUGAUAAGUUCCGUGGUCGAGAGGGAAAGAGCCCAGAUCGCCAGCUAAGGUCCCAAAAUAUGUGCUAAGUGGAAAAGGAUGUGGAAACGCAGAGACAGCCAGGAGGUUGGCUUAGAAGCAGCCAUCCUUUAAAGAAAGCGUAACAGCUCACUGGUCAAGUGGUUCUGCGCCGACAAUGUAACGGGGCUCAAGCACAUUACCGAAGCUGCGGAUCUCCCGACUUGUCGGGGGGUGGUAGGGGAGCAUUCCAUUCUGGGUUGAAGCCAGACCGUGAGGACUGGUGGACUGAAUGGAAGAGAUUAUGCUGACAUGAGUAGCGAUAAUGCCGGUGAGAAACUGGCACGCCGAAAGCCUAAGGUUUCCUGAGUAAAGUUAAUCUGCUCAGGGUUAGUCGGCCCCUAAGCCGAGGCUGAAAAGCGUAGGUGAUGGGAAACAGGUUAAUAUUCCUGUACCACCGGAUCAGCGUUUGAGUGAUGGGGGGACGCAGAAGGGUAGGCCAUCUCCGUGAUGGAAUACGGAGUUCAAGCUGGUAGGUGGAGAGGGCAGGCAAAUCCGCCCUCUUAUUCAACACCGAGAGGUGAUGAGGAUCCCUUUUAGGGUACAAACUGGUUGAUCCCAUGCUGCCGAGAAAAGCCUCUAGCGAGUUGAUCAGGUGACCGUACCGCAAACCGACACAGGUAGGCGGGGAGAGGAUCCUAAGGCGCUUGAGAGAACUCUGGUUAAGGAACUCGGCAAAAUGACACCGUAACUUCGGAAGAAGGUGUGCCCUCAUUAGGUGAAGUCCUCCCGCUUCGGGGCGGACGGAGCCGAAGGGGGUUGCAGAGAAAUGGCGGUAGCGACUGUUUACUAAAAACACAGGACUCUGCUAAGUCGUAAGACGACGUAUAGGGUCUGACGNNNNNNNNNNNNNNNNNNNNNNNNNNNNNNNNNNNNNNNNNNNNNNNNNNNNNNNNNNNNNNNNNNNNNNNNNNNNNNNNNNNNNNNNNNNNNGGUAAGUUCCGACCUGCACGAAUGGCGUAACGACUUCCCCGCUGUCUCAACCAGGGACUCAGCGAAAUUGAAUUGGCGGUGAAGAUGCCGUCUACCCGCGGCAAGACGGAAAGACCCCGUGCACCUUUACUACAGCUUGACAUUGAAUUUUGGGGUAGUAUGUGUAGGAUAGGUGGGAGACUAUGAAGUCCCGACGCCAGUUGGGAUGGAGCCAACCUUGAAAUACCACCCUUCUUAAUUUAGGGUCCUAAUCUU
RNAcentral lists this ribosomal RNA (2319 nucleotides) under Deltaproteobacteria bacterium. RNAcentral's name for it is "partial 23S ribosomal RNA". It matches the Rfam family "Bacterial large subunit ribosomal RNA", at positions 1 to 2229 of the family's 2925-position model. Lineage: Bacteria; Pseudomonadati; Myxococcota; Myxococcia. The record is from RNAcentral.